CCUACGGGAGGCUGCAGUGAGGAAUAUUGGUCAAUGGGCGAGAGCCUGAACCAGCCAAGUCGCGUGCAGGAUGACUGCCUUAUGGGUUGUAAACUGCUUUUAUAAAGGAAUAACAACUCUCACGUGUGAGAGGAUGAAUGUACUUUAGGAAUAAGGAUCGGCUAACUCCGUGCCAGCAGCCGCGGUAAUACGGAGGAUCCAAGCGUUAUCCGGAUUUAUUGGGUUUAAAGGGUGCGUAGGCGGUUGAUUAAGUCAGCGGUGAAAGUUUGCAGCUCAACUGUAAAAUUGCCGUUGAAACUGGUCGACUUGAGUACGGUAGAGGUAUGCGGAAUGCGUUGUGUAGCGGUGAAAUGCUUAGAUAUAACGCAGAACCCCAAUUGCGAAGGCAGCAUACUGGACCGGUAACUGACGCUGAGGCACGAAAGCGUGGGGAUCAAACAGGAUUAGAUACCCUAGUAGUC
Molecule: ribosomal RNA, 461 nt
Filed under: uncultured Bacteroidaceae bacterium
Lineage: Bacteria; Pseudomonadati; Bacteroidota; Bacteroidia; Bacteroidales; Bacteroidaceae
Description: bacterial SSU rRNA
Rfam family: Bacterial small subunit ribosomal RNA
Source: RNAcentral